CCUACGGGUGGCAGCAGUGAGGAAUAUUGGUCAAUGGACGCAAGUCUGAACCAGCCAUGCCGCGUGCAGGAAGACGGCUCUAUGAGUUGUAAACUGCUUUUGUACGAGGGUAAACGCAGAUACGCGUAUCUGUCUGAAAGUAUCUUACGAAUAAGGAUCGGCUAACUCCGUGCCAGCAGCCGCGGUAAUACGGAGGAUUCGAGCGUUAUCCGGAUUUAUUGGGUUUAAAGGGUGCGUAGGCGGUCGGAUAAGUUAGAGGUGAAAGCCCGAGGCUCAACUUCGGAAUUGCCUCUGAUACUGUUCGGCUAGAGAGUAGUUGCGGUAGGCGGAAUGUAUGGUGUAGCGGUGAAAUGCUUAGAGAUCAUACAGAACACCGAUUGCGAAGGCAGCUUACCAAGCUACUUCUGACGUUGAGGCACGAAAGCGUGGGGAGCAAACAGGAUUAGAUACCCCAGUAGUC
Molecule: ribosomal RNA, 460 nt
Filed under: uncultured bacterium
Lineage: Bacteria
Description: partial 16S ribosomal RNA
Rfam family: Bacterial small subunit ribosomal RNA
Source: RNAcentral